CGGGGUAUUGCUCAGUAGUAGAGCAUUUACCUAGCAUGUAGAAGGUCCUGGGUUCAAUACCCAGCACUGCUA
Molecule: transfer RNA, 72 nt
Filed under: Ictidomys tridecemlineatus (thirteen-lined ground squirrel)
Lineage: Eukaryota; Metazoa; Chordata; Mammalia; Rodentia; Sciuridae
Description: Spermophilus tridecemlineatus (thirteen-lined ground squirrel) tRNA
Rfam family: tRNA
About the family: Transfer RNA (tRNA) molecules are approximately 80 nucleotides in length. Their secondary structure includes four short double-helical elements and three loops (D, anti-codon, and T loops).
Source: Rfam by way of RNAcentral